Molecule: ribosomal RNA, 1065 nt
Filed under: uncultured cyanobacterium
Lineage: Bacteria; Bacillati; Cyanobacteriota
Description: bacterial SSU rRNA
Rfam family: Bacterial small subunit ribosomal RNA
Source: RNAcentral
GACGGUACCUGAAGAAAAAGCAUCGGCUAACUCCGUGCCAGCAGCCGCGGUAAUACGAAGGAUGCAAGUGUUAUCCGGAAUCAUUGGGCGUAAAGGGUCCGCAGGUGGCCAAUCAAGUCGGCUGUUAAAGACCGGGGCUUAACUCCGGGCAGGCAGUGGAAACUGAUUAGCUAGAGUACGGUAGGGGUAGAGGGAAUUCCCAGUGUAGCGGUGAAAUGCGUAGAUAUUGGGAAGAACACCGGUGGCGAAAGCGCUCUACUAGGCCGAAACUGACACUGAGGGACGAAAGCUAGGGUAGCGAAAGGGAUUAGAUACCCCUGUAGUCUUAGCUGUAAACGAUGGAUACUAGGUGUAGCUCGUAUCGACCCCAGCUGUGCCGAAGCUAACGCGAUAAGUAUCCCGCUUGGGGAGUACGCACGCAAGUGUGAAACUCAAAGGAAUUGACGGGGGCCCGCACAAGCGGUGGAGUAUGUGGUUUAAUUCGAUGCAACGCGAAGAACCUUACCAGGGCUUGACAUGUCGCGAAUCUAGCGGAAACGUUAGAGUGCCUUAGGGAAUGCGAACACAGGUGGUGCAUGGCUGUCGUCAGCUCGUGUCGUGAGAUGUUGGGUUAAGUCCCGCAACGAGCGCAACCCUCGUCCUUAGUUGCCAAUAUUAAGUUAGGCACUCUAGGGAUACUGCCGGGGACAACCCGGAGGAAGGUGGGGAUGACGUCAAGUCAGCAUGCCCCUUACGUCCUGGGCGACACACGUACUACAAUGGUUGGGACAAAGGGCAGCAAGCUCGCGAGAGUAAGCGAAUCUCAUCAAACCCAGCCACAGUUCAGAUUGCAGGCUGCAACUCGCCUGCAUGAAGUAGGAAUCGCUAGUAAUCGCAGGUCAGCAUACUGCGGUGAAUUCGUUCCCGGGCCUUGUACACACCGCCCGUCACACCAUGGAAGCUGGCUACGCCCGAAGUCGUUACCCUAACCCUAAGGGGAGGGGGAUGCCGAAGGUAGAGCUAGUGACUGGGGUGAAGUCGUAACAAGGUAGCCGUACCUGAAGGUGUGGCUGGAUCACCUCCUUU